UUCCUGGUGGUCCAGUGCUCUGGACUGUGCCCUUCCACUGCAGGGGGCGCAAGUUCGAUCCUUGUCUGGGAAC
This 73-nucleotide transfer RNA is filed under the name Ovis aries (sheep). It matches the Rfam family "tRNA". Rfam says of the family: Transfer RNA (tRNA) molecules are approximately 80 nucleotides in length. The record is from Rfam by way of RNAcentral. Lineage: Eukaryota; Metazoa; Chordata; Mammalia; Artiodactyla; Bovidae.